AUGCUGGCGAACACCGGAGACGGAGGCGCUGUGAACUGCAGCGGCGGGCAUGGCAGCAAGGUGGACUCGCCGGCCAACGGGGCGCCAUGGCAAGGAGGCGGAGCAGAGGAACGGAUAGCAGGGGAACGAAGGAGAGGGAGGUGGCUCAGGCGCUGCUCUCCUUCGCUGAUGGCGCGUCGAAGGAGGAGGGGAUCGAGAGGGGCACGAUCGAUGGAGAGGGAGAGAACUGGAUCGGGCAGCGUGUGCGCUCUGCCUCUCACUAGCGGCGUUGGAGGGAGGAUGCGAGGGAGAGGAGUGGGAUCGAGGGAGAUGGUAGCGAUCGGCUAG
Molecule: ribosomal RNA, 327 nt
Filed under: Triticum aestivum (bread wheat)
Lineage: Eukaryota; Viridiplantae; Streptophyta; Magnoliopsida; Poales; Poaceae
Description: partial small subunit ribosomal RNA
Source: RNAcentral